AUUGAACGCUGGCGGCAUGCUUUACACAUGCAAGUCGAACGGCAGCGCGGGCUUCGGCCUGGCGGCGAGUGGCGAACGGGUGAGUAAUGCAUCGGAACGUGCCCAGUAGUGGGGGAUAGCCCGGCGAAAGCCGGAUUAAUACCGCAUACGACCUGAGGGUGAAAGCGGGGGACCGAAAGGCCUCGCGCUAUUGGAGCGGCCGAUGUCGGAUUAGCUAGUUGGUGGGGUAAAGGCUUACCAAGGCGACGAUCCGUAGCUGGUCUGAGAGGACGACCAGCCACACUGGGACUGAGACACGGCCCAGACUCCUACGGGAGGCAGCAGCGGGGAAUUUUGGACAAUGGGGGCAACCCUGAUCCAGCCAUGCCGCGUGCGGGAAGAAGGCCUUCGGGUUGUAAACCGCUUUUGUUCGGGAAGAAAUCCUCUGGGCUAAUACCCCGGGGGGAUGACGGUACCGGAAGAAUAAGCACCGGCUAACUACGU
Molecule: ribosomal RNA, 483 nt
Filed under: uncultured bacterium
Lineage: Bacteria
Description: partial 16S ribosomal RNA
Rfam family: Bacterial small subunit ribosomal RNA
Source: RNAcentral